CGAUUAGCUAGUUGGUGAGGUAAAGGCUCACCAAGGCACCGAUCGGUAGCUGGUUUGAGAGAACGACCAGCCACACUGGGACUGAGACACGGCCCAGACUCCUACGGGAGGCAGCAGUGGGGAAUCUUGCGCAAUGGGCGAAAGCCUGACGCAGCAACGCCGCGUGGGGGAUGAAGGCUCUCGGGUUGUAAACCCCUUUCAGCAGGGACGAAAUUGACGGUACCUGCAGAAGAAGCCCCGGCCAACUACGUGCCAGCAGCCGCGGUAAUACGUAGGGGGCGAGCGUUGUCCGGAUUCAUUGGGCGUAAAGAGCUCGUAGGCGGCUGACUAAGUCAGGUGUGAAACCUCCAGGCUCAACCUGGAGUCGCCACCUGAUACUGGUCUGGCUAGAGUCCGGUAGGGGACCACGGAAUUCCUGGUGUAGCGGUGAAAUGCGCAGAUAUCAGGAGGAACACCGGUGGCGAAGGCGGUGGUCUGGGCCGGCACUGACGCUGAGGAGCGAAAGCGUGGGGAGCGAACAGGAUUAGAUACCCUGGUAGUCCACGCCGUAAACGUUGGGCACUAGGUGU
RNAcentral lists this ribosomal RNA (569 nucleotides) under uncultured Actinomycetes bacterium. RNAcentral describes it as "bacterial SSU rRNA". It matches the Rfam family "Bacterial small subunit ribosomal RNA", at positions 238 to 823 of the family's 1533-position model. The record is from RNAcentral. Lineage: Bacteria; Bacillati; Actinomycetota; Actinomycetes.